Long non-coding RNA from Papaver somniferum (opium poppy), 151 nucleotides. RefSeq lists it as uncharacterized. The transcript is spliced from 3 exons. Lineage: Eukaryota; Viridiplantae; Streptophyta; Magnoliopsida; Ranunculales; Papaveraceae. The record is from RefSeq and is a predicted model, not a curated record.
GUUAGGGUUAGGGCUUUACUCGUAAUCAACUAACCAAGUUUUAUCCUUUAGGGCUUUCUUUAGACUACCGUUGAAGAAGAAUAGGAAAAAUUGGCCGAUGAUUUUACUUCUACUUUCCUAAUCUAGGAAUGUCAGUAAAGAUGGGUGUUCG